UGUAAUUCACCUGUAACAAGCGGCAGUGUAAUGAAAAAUGGGUUACUACUUUAAACAAGACCCACUUGUUAUAUAACAAACACAGAAUGUUGGAUGACAAGUUGCAUGAAAUUCAUGAAAGUAGUUGCAAAGGGAUACAUGACAGGUUCAAGGACUUAGACUUCCUACAAACUAAACAUUACAAAACAAAAAUCAAACUAGGCUGCUUUGUUUCAAUAUGCAUGCCUAGUUGCCCACAUCUCAUCGGUCAUAUCAUCACGCAUUUGAUUCCAUUCGUUACUGCUGUCAACAUAAGUUAUAAUCAGGUCAUCUGACAGGAUUUCUGUCUUGGACGUUGAAAAGUCCGGUCCGUGGUAAGCUUGCUCAAAAAUAUUCGGUCCCCAACUCCCCGGAGUAGUUAUGUAACAGGGCACAAGCAUUGACGAUCAUCGAAACCUUCAUCGGAGAAAACCAUGAAGGAGAGCCCAACGCAUCUUCAUGAUGCCAAAAGUCCUCUGAAUAACAUUUCGGGUCCCUGAAUGAAUCAAGUUGAAUAGUUCCUCUUUAUUCCUAGACUUGUUCGGACCCCAUUCCAUUAAAUGAUAACGUUUGCCGAGGUAAGGAGUCAGGACCCCCUAGCAUUGGUGUAGCCAGCAUCGCUGAGGUAGUAUUUCCCAGUGAACAUAGUGAAGAGAACACUUGAACAAUACUCAAAAUUUCAUUAUAUAAUAUGUAAACAAUACAGAAACAGUUUAAUGUAUAAUACUUAAACAGUAAUGAAACAGUUUAUUACAUAAUACUUACACAAUACUCAAACAAUACCUAAACAUUACUCAAACAGACUCAAGGCAUUAUAUAACUUAACUGAUUUUGUAGGUGUAGCCAAACAGACUGAAGGCAUUAGCUGAAUGAACUAAUUUUGCAGGUACUCUAAAUAGACUCGGGCCAAUAUCGUAAUAAAUCGAUUGUGCAGGUACAUCAAACAAACUGAGGUGCAUUAUGUUACUGAACUGCAUCAUGACGGGUAAUGUAAAGACUCAAGGCAUUAUCCUACUCAAUCGAUUUUGCAGUUACAGCAAAAUUACUCAGGUGCAUUAUCCUACUGAACUGAUCAUGACAUAAAAUGCAAAGACUAUGCAUUAUUAUACUCAAUCUAAUUUGCAGGUACAACAAACAGUCUCAGGUGCAUUAUCGUCACUUAGCAUGUUUCAAAAGGAUAGAGCAGUAUAACUAUAAAAACGCACUAUAACUUUUAAUUACAGCAGUGUACUUGAUGCAUAAUCAGAAUAGUACCAAACUCCUAUGAAUUUGUAAUCGAGAUAUGAUAUUACAGCUAAGUUAUGGAGAAAGCCUAAUGGGCAAUAAAUCUUACCGGGAGGAACAACGAAGGAAUUGCUCGGGCCAUUGCAUCCCGAAGAACGCGACCAUCAUGUGCAGAUCCCGGGCAACCACUUAAGCAAUAGACGAAUGCCAUAUUCCAAUUGCAGACACCAAGGAAGUUAAUGGCAGUUACUGAUUUACGGUUCCGGUACUUUGGUGCAUCCUCAGACGAACAACAAACGGACACCAUCAUCUCAUCCAACGUUCCUAAACAGCCCUGUUACAAACUUAUGGUUAUUGUUAUUAUCAUACUACACAGUACAUAAGUAAAGCAUACAAAUUGCAAACGACAAUUGCGGCACCUACCGGAAAGUACUGCAACCGUCAAUCCGUGCAAUUAGGGGGGAUCCGCGUGGGGGUGGCGAGGAGAAGGGGACUGAAUUUCAGAAUCGACAAGAGUACAAGCUUAAAAGUUUGGCUAAUUGUCUAGCCGGAAUGUUGGAAGUGAAACUGUGCUUUCCGGUUCUUAAUGUUGUGGCAAACGGUUACGAGAAAUAUUGCCACCAUUUCAUAAUCUCCAUGUUUUAGUACGUCGCAACCCUCUCUCGUCUCUCAACGGGCCACAAAGGUUUGUACAUUGUUGACUAACUCGGCACAUAUUGAUACAUAACUGGUCAGACACCUUUGUGGCAUAGUGUAGGAAUCCUACACGAUACACUAUCCAGGGAACUGACAUUACUAAUGGGACUGGCUCUUCCCUCCUAUAUGUAAGAAGUGAGACUUGGACCAUGGCUGGUUGUGACAAAAUGAACACAUACUGUUGCAUCAUUUGGAACCACAGGGUAAUAAUGGUGGUUAUUACCUUUUGCCGUUAACGACUACCUGGUCGUCUAGCCAUAUGUAUGUAGUAUGUGCCAAACUAGGUUGACUACUAAGGUAUACAGAGUAUGAAGGAAAACCUAGAAAUUCAUAGCAAAAAAAUUCAUUGCUAGAUUUGGUACAUGGAACAAAACUGAGAGGGUAAUGAACCGUAAUACAAAGAUUCACAGUUACGUAGUUCAGAUGAAGAGGAUCAUAGGAAGUACUUACUGUGGGGAAAUGAAUUACUGUCGGAAAAUUAAGAAUCCAAUAAAUCAAAUCAUAUGUCCUUCUCGUAAGAACUAGAACAGAGUCGCACUUCAAACCGUUCCACCACUCGAAAAAUUUGACUUUCUGUAUAUGUCUCGAUGAACCCUAAAUUGAGAAACGAUUUGUUAAAGAAGGAGAACAGACUGACGAUGUUCAUGGAAGCGGACCAAUGAAUCGAGGAGACCCGCUUACCGCUCGUCGACUCCAAAAUAUUAUCCCCUUCCAACUUCCCUCGAAUCGAAAGCACAUGACUAGUCGGCAACCAUCUUCUAGAUCUCCAGUAUCUUCAUUCUUCUUCCAUCAGAAUUAACAUUUAAUGGUGAUAGGUCUGAGGUAGAAGAGAGAGGGAGAUGCCAGUGCAGUAACGCGAUGUAGAUGGUGAUGAGAGAAGGGGAAUCGCAAUUAUUACGCGGUGGGGAAACUGGGACAGGGAUGAUGAUGUGCCCUGUAUUUC
This 2881-nucleotide long non-coding RNA is filed under the name Linum usitatissimum (flax). RNAcentral's name for it is "long non-coding RNA (LUSI_LNC003872)". Lineage: Eukaryota; Viridiplantae; Streptophyta; Magnoliopsida; Malpighiales; Linaceae. The record is from RNAcentral.